AUAGAGAACAGUACUGUGAAGGAAAGAUGGAAAGGACUCUAAAAAAGGGAUUGAAAAGGAUUGAAAUCUAA
Molecule: ribosomal RNA, 71 nt
Filed under: uncultured Pyramimonas
Lineage: Eukaryota; Viridiplantae; Chlorophyta; Pyramimonadophyceae; Pyramimonadales
Description: partial Bacterial large subunit ribosomal RNA
Source: RNAcentral